CAGGGGAAGGGUGUUUACCAGUUUGCCGACAAGUAUGGAGCAAACGUUGAUGGGUACAGCCCGAUAUAUACACCAGAAGAAUGGUCUCCAAGUGGUGACGUUUAUGUUGGAGGAAAGACAAGGCUGUUUCUCUGGGCAGUCACUCUUGCUGGAAUUCUGCUGGGCGGUGCUCUUCUCUCAUAUGAUAAUCAAUCACCUUAA
This 201-nucleotide ribosomal RNA is filed under the name Triticum aestivum (bread wheat). RNAcentral's name for it is "partial small subunit ribosomal RNA". Lineage: Eukaryota; Viridiplantae; Streptophyta; Magnoliopsida; Poales; Poaceae. The record is from RNAcentral.